RNAcentral lists this unclassified non-coding RNA (179 nucleotides) under rhizosphere metagenome. RNAcentral's name for it is "partial ribosomal RNA internal transcribed spacer region". The record is from RNAcentral.
GUAGGUGAACCUGCGGAAGGAUCAUUACAGAUUGGAAUACCGUUCGGAGUCGUAAGGCUCCAAAUGGAUACAUACGUUCGGAGUCGUAAGGCUUCGUAACACAUUUACGCUUGGUUUGUUUGUCAGAGUAAUCUAUACCGAAUACCAGACAACUUUUAACAAUGGAUCUCUUGGCUCUU